CUCCCUGAGACGAGUCUCAAAUAGGACGAAACGCGUGUCCUGGAU
This 45-nucleotide non-coding RNA is filed under the name Schistosoma mattheei. Lineage: Eukaryota; Metazoa; Platyhelminthes; Trematoda; Strigeidida; Schistosomatidae. The record is from RNAcentral.